Long non-coding RNA from Homo sapiens (human), 538 nucleotides. NCBI's taxonomy places the organism in Eukaryota, Metazoa, Chordata, Mammalia, Primates, Hominidae. The record is from Ensembl.
ACUGAGGCCACCUCUCUAAGUUCUCUUGUCCUCCGGAGCUCCAGCGGCAGCUGCCGAGGGAGGGACCGUCCCCGCUGUGAGCUGGGCGGAGCUCGGGAAGGCCCGCAGCCUUCAGCUGAACUGUCUCAAUGGGACCAGAGCUCUGGCGCGUCCCUUGGUGGAUCCGCUGGGCCUCUACCUGCUGGCUUCUCAGUCCGGCCGCCGGGUCCACCAGAUGUCGGCCAAGAGUGUAGGACUUGGCCACCAGCUUGAAAUAUUUAAGACGGACCAGAUGGCUCUCCUCGGCUGCAGAACCGCUAAGAUCCAGUAGAGGAUGCAUAAUCUCACCGCUGAACAUUCCUGACAGUGUGAUUAUGACAUAUGACUUUACCCAGCACCAGAGUGAGUUGGUGCUCCAGCCCUGGCCCAGCCCACAGAAGAGAUUGUGACAUAUCACUGGACCCAACACUGAGGUGAUGUGAUUAUUCUACUGCCUUGGCACUGCACACAGGGGACAUUGUGACAUCACUGGGUCUUGUACCCAGGUGGUGUGAAUCUU